AUUGAACGCUGGCGGCAGGCCUAACACAUGCAAGUCGAGCGGAUGAAGGGAGCUUGCUCCUGGAUUCAGCGGCGGACGGGUGAGCAAUGCCUAGGAAUCUGCCUGGUAGUGGGGGAUAACGUCCGGAAACGGGCGCUAAUACCGCAUACGUCCUGAGGGAGAAAGUGGGGGAUCUUCGGACCUCACGCUAUCAGAUGAGCCUAGGUCGGAUUAGCUAGUUGGUGGGGUAAAGGCCUACCAAGGCGACGAUCCGUAACUGGUCUGAGAGGAUGAUCAGUCACACUGGAACUGAGACACGGUCCAGACUCCUACGGGAGGCAGCAGUGGGGAAUAUUGGACAAUGGGCGAAAGCCUGAUCCAGCCAUGCCGCGUGUGUGAAGAAGGUCUUCGGAUUGUAAAGCACUUUAAGUUGGGAGGAAGGGCAGUAAGUUAAUACCUUGCCGUUUUGACGUUACCAACAGAAUAAGCACCGGCUAACUUCGUG
RNAcentral lists this ribosomal RNA (484 nucleotides) under uncultured bacterium. Its description in RNAcentral is "partial 16S ribosomal RNA". It matches the Rfam family "Bacterial small subunit ribosomal RNA", at positions 30 to 507 of the family's 1533-position model. The record is from RNAcentral.